RNAcentral lists this ribosomal RNA (449 nucleotides) under uncultured bacterium. RNAcentral describes it as "partial 16S ribosomal RNA". It matches the Rfam family "Bacterial small subunit ribosomal RNA", at positions 29 to 523 of the family's 1533-position model. The record is from RNAcentral.
AACGAACGCUGGCGGCAUGCCUAACACAUGCAAGUCGAACGAGAUCUUCGGGUCUAGUGGCGCACGGGUGCGUAACGCGUGGGAAUCUGCCCUUUGGUUCGGAAUAACCGUUGGAAACGACUGCUAAUACCGGAUGAUGACGAAAGUCCAAAGAUUUAUCGCCAGAGGAUGAGCCCGCGUAGGAUUAGCUAGUUGGUGUGGUAAAGGCGCACCAAGGCGACGAUCCUUAGCUGGUCUGAGAGGAUGAUCAGCCACAAUGGGACUGAGACACGGCCCAGACUCCUACGGGAGGCAGCAGUGGGGAAUAUUGGACAAUGGGCGAAAGCCUGAUCCAGCAAUGCCGCGUGAGUGAUGAAGGCCUUAGGGUUGUAAAGCUCUUUUACCCGGGAUGAUAAUGACAGUACCGGGAGAAUAAGCUCCGGCUAACUCCGUGCCAGCCGCCGCAGUAA